Molecule: long non-coding RNA, 4824 nt
Organism: Symphalangus syndactylus (siamang)
Lineage: Eukaryota; Metazoa; Chordata; Mammalia; Primates; Hylobatidae
Source: RefSeq, a predicted model, not a curated record
GGUGUGUGUGUGUGGUGGUGUGUGUGUGGUGUGAUGUGUGUGUGAUAUGUGUGUGAUAUGUGUAUGUGUGUGAUAUGUGUAUGUGUGUGAUGUGUGUGGUGGUGUGUGUGUGGUGUGAUGUGUGUGUGGUGUGUGUGAUAUGUGUAUGUGUGUGGUGUGUGUGUGGUGUGUGUGUGAUUGUGUGAUGUGCAUGUGGUGUGCAUGUGUUUGAGGGAGGGCUGUGCAUUUCUGCUCUCAGCUUGGCGCCCAGGAGCCAGCAGGGACUGCUCUCCCCUGGGCCCCACACACGAAGUGGCGCCCCAGCUCCAUGCCUCUCUCCUGCAUUCACACUGCCCCCUCGCAGCCCUCCCAAAGGGCCGCCAGGCACAGGGCCGUGGGCAUGCUGGUGACCAGGCACAACUUCUCCAGCCUGGAGCCUUCCCGUCCUUGGCGCCGUCCUGCACCCGCAGUCUGUGCCGGGGAGCUCAGCGCCUUGCCACUCCGUGUGUCCAGCAGCCCCGGGCCCGCGAUGCUGGCAUGCUGCUGCUCCACCGUGGUUGUGGUUUGGACAGGACUGCUCAGAGGAUCAGCACAGCAUGCUCUGCCUGCCGCAGAGGGACAGCGACCAGAGAGAGAAGGAACAGCAGCGGCAUCGUGCGUGGGUGCAGCAGUGGAGCCUGCUGGGGUGGAGUUGAAGCUGCUGUCAGGCCCUUUUUGAGCAGCUGACAAGCACCCUCGGUGUAGCGUCCACACCAGCAGAGUAUUUAAGUGGGGACCCGCAACGGGCGGGAAAGGAGAGACCGGUGCUGACGGAGCUUGGGACGCCAACAGAUGUGAGAGCCACGUCUGUGCAUUUCCAGGAGGCCCCAUCGUCUGGAUGUCAGGCAGGGAGGAAGGGAACCUGCCGCGGCAACCCACUGCUGGGCGCAUCCUGUUCUCUGGGUGUGGGACUUCUGACUGGUUCACCUGGGAGGCCAGAGGGCCGUACACACAAGCCCUCCUGACCUUGGCUUUGUUCCCAGCCUUUGAUCAUAGGUUUGCAAACUCCUAGGCUCCCCAGGCACCAUAAACGCAGAGACUGGCCAAUCCUAGGUGGUCCGGGGGACGGCAAUUGGGAGAGAGGGGGCUAAAAAGAAUCCUCUGUGAGCCAGACUCAGUUCCUACGCUCCCCCUUUGUGACUCCAGCUACAGGGGAGGGUUUUGCCCCCUUAAUUUACAUUUUAAUGGUGUAUUUCUCACGAUUUAUGUUCUUGAAUUUUCACCAUAAAACACUUAUCAGAGGUCGUUGGUUGCAAGGAGACUAAAUGCAUGUGUAUUUAUUUUCCAGUCCAGUAAAGUAGGAAGGCAGGCACUUGCUAAACUGCGGCAGAGGUGGGAUACCAAGAAAUUUGGGGUCCUAAGUAAAUAAAGGCUUGGGGGGCUGGGCCAAGCCUGUCCCACCACCCUCUUUCUCUUACUGCUGAACAGCUCCACGUGUUUAAAUCCAUCUCUACAAAUAUUACAGAGGAUUGCUCAUGUCAACAGAGAGGUUUCAGGUGGCCCUAAUAAAAAAGCAGCAAAUGGAUAUAAAAGUCAGUCUUAAAGUGUUACUUGUCGGUAGGCAAAGCAAGGGCGUCUGCAGCACGCCCCACCCGUGCUGGUCUGCCCAGCAGCUGGUGGGCUUUCUUUGUGGGAUUUGGAAGCUUUGCGUUUCUCCUCCAGUCUCUUCCUGAGAACCCAGCAGAGGUUGGAGGGAGGGUGGGAGUGACGUGGUGGCUCGGCACCACAACAAAGAGUUGUUCUAAUUUUAGAGUCUUAAUGGUGCCCGUUGAGGCACACAGAGAAGGGGCGGAGUUCUGGCUGCCUCUGAGCUGAAAGUCUUCCCAAAAUAAAAGGAAGGUCUGGAUGACCCGUGACGUUUCUGGUGCAUGUGUGAGGUCUGUGCGUUUCUUCUUUAUGCAAAAUAUAAGAAACCUUGCAUAUAAAAAAGACAAGGGGGCAGUGCUCUGUGUGCAGUGGGGGAGGGGCCCAGGGCAGAGGAGGACUGCUUCCCAGGGCCGAGAGGCACCCGAGGGCGCCAGGGUGGCAGCAGGAGCUCUUUCCUCCCUCUCUGUCUCUGUCUCUCUCUUUCUCUCUCUCUCUGUCAGAGACUCAUGGACCCCAGGGCCUGAGAUGUCUAUCCCAGUUGUGGAGAUGCCAGUCUGAGGGGCAGGCCUAAGGAUUCAUUUGCUUCUUAGCGUGAAGGGCUGAGAGGACACAGGACCCACCCCUCGUCCAUUAGGGAUGAUGAGGGCAACCGGGGGAGUACUGGGUGCUUCUCCACAGCCAGAUAUUAGAGACCCUGUGAUUAUUUUCUGCUAAAACCAGGGCACACCGCCAGAGAAGCCGAUGGGCUGCUCUAUGUGAGACUCCAUCCAAUUCACUUCCAGGAUGUUUUACCCUUUGGGGCAGAGCCAUCUGCUUCCGUGCAUGGCUUGAAUCCAAUUUACCAACAUUGAUAACUUUUUGUGCCUAUGAUAGGGACAGAUGUCACUGCCAGCCCCUCACGUCGGCAGAGCAGGCACUCCCCAUCCUCUCUGUGUUCACUCUGCGCUGGGGAAGGGGGCUGGACAGUGAGGGAGUGGCUGGGAUGCAGAAGCAGUGCAGAGUGUGCUUCUGGGAAUCACACUGGAAAUCAGGGCAGUUGUGGGGCACAGGGCAAGGGUUACCUUGCCAGCCCUGAAGAGGAGAGGCGGCUGCAGCCCCACCUACACUAGAUGCCUCUCUCUGCCCGUCCUGGGUGUCUCUUUCCGUGCUCCACCCAUGCCCACUGCCUUCCAGAUCACAUUUCCAGGAAGUACUCUGUUCUGGGUGUCAGCAUCACCCAAGCUGGGGGCACCUUGCAAGCCUUCUGGCCAUGGCUUGCUGUCUCUCUGCAGGUGUCCCAGGCCCAGGGCCAGGGGCCAGUCACGCAGUGCCGCAUGUGGGAGCUGCCUCUUCAGCAGGGGGACAGGGUAGAGGGCAUGAGGGGACCCCUGAGCUGCUUCACCUAAUCCAAGUACAAACACCACAGCACCAGUACUUUGGCCAUCAGAGCAUCCUGUGUGAGCUCAGCUGAGCUAGCCCCACCACCCCCCAGCAGCUUUUGGUGGGCAGUGGCAGCGGUCCCUGUGCAGGGCAGGAGCCUGGGGAAGCAAGGGCUGGGUGCUGCUGGUCCCUGGAAGGAGGACUUCUGCCCCAGUGCUUUGUGAAGAGGACAUGAGGGCAAAGUACUCAUUUGCCCCUAGGUAACAUGUGUGCUGGGGUUGGAGGCUGAGGUAAGGGUGCGAAUUCUGCCUGAGGAAAGGCUCAGCCUGGAGUGUAGUCCUGCUGAAGGCCACAGAGACCACACACUCCACCCAGACUCCGGAUAUCCCUCCCCAGCAGGCGGAAGGAGGCCCUGCCGCUGGGAGUGCUGGUGUUGUGUGGAAGGGCUGGGCUUCUGCAGGGCUCCUGGGAGUCCUAAACAUCUCGCAGGGUUUUGACGUUAAUUACUACUGUGAUUGCUUUCUGUGUGUAACUGUUUUCCCCACACUUUAGCCAGCUAAUGUGGAGCUACAGAAGGCCCUCGCCGCUACGCCUCCAGAUGUCCCAGCCCAUGACAAGCAGGAAGGCCGGGUGCUGGGAGACUUCCUGGGGCUGGAUCUGACAUCAUUCCAAGCAGAUGAUAACCUGCCUUCCAGAUUUCCAUACCCACAGCAAGACACCCUGGAGUUAUUUAUAAAUGCGAGCCCUUGGGUGCACUUCUGCCGGGACCAGCACCCUGACGGCCAUGAGAGGGUGGAGACAGCGCACCCCGAGCUCAGGGAGGCAGGAAACUCUGGACCUGGAGGCCGGGCACCAUGAGGGACACGCUGCAGGCCCAGCUGCUGCCGCCUGGGGCGGGACUGCCCUGCAGGCUCCGGGAGAACCCGGAACCAGGCCGGAUCAGCGUGUGUCAAGGGGCGGGGCGUGAGAGAUGAGCUGUUUUUUUCUUCACAGUGUUGGCAGGAACUGCAAAUGAUAGAAAGUCGUUAGGGUCUAACACGCUGCCCUGAAAACACUAUCAUUACUUUCCUAAUGACUAUCUUUCAGCCGGCGGGGCAGGCAGCUGAGGCCGCAGGCUCCCGCAGAGGACUGCGACGUGGGAGGCUGGCAGCCUGUAAUUUGGGGGCGCUGACAGCGCUCUGCCCAGACCCUCGCGCCAGCUCCAGCUCCAGCUCCAGCACAGCAGCCCUGGGUCCCUCCGGCCCCCUGCCCGCAGAGUCCAGGUGUGGCAGAGGCCGCCCAGUACCCCUUCUCCUCCUUUUUUAAAAACAGAGUCUCACGAUGUUUCCCAGGCGGGUCUCCACCUCCUGGGCUCAAGCGAUCCUUCUGCCUCGGCCUCCCAAAGCGCUGGGAUUAAGGGUCGAGCCACCGCGCCCGGCUCACCAUCCCUUCUGGUUCAUUUCCAGUAAGGUCCUGUCCACAGCGUCCUUCCCAGCAUUCCCACCAGGCUGCGGCCCUUGGCCUCCCUCUCCUCCAUUCUCAUUCUCCCCGAAACCGCCAAGCGUGUCCCAAGCACAGGUUCGCCAAGCGCCACCCCGCACUCCACAUUCCCUUCCCCGCGGACUCAGCCUCCGUAGCUCGUGGACGGCCCCUCCUCACGCCAGCCCAGGCUUUUUUAUUUUAAGGUUGUCUUUUAAUGACACAAGCGACAUUGGAGACAAAAGGACACAUCUCUUCCUGACCCAUCUCCAACCCCAGCUGACGGCCGCCCUGCGCCUGGCGUAGACGGCCCGGCCCGGAACGUUCCCUGGGUGGGUUCCGUCCAUCCCGAACCCCUGUCCCCGCGCCGGCUCCGGGGGUGCUCGGGGGGCCGCGUGGGGU